RNAcentral lists this ribosomal RNA (1230 nucleotides) under Triticum aestivum (bread wheat). Its description in RNAcentral is "partial small subunit ribosomal RNA". Lineage: Eukaryota; Viridiplantae; Streptophyta; Magnoliopsida; Poales; Poaceae. The record is from RNAcentral.
AUGUCUUUGGCGUUAUCUGGCUAUGUUGCCAUCCCGUGCUGCCCGGUGAUAUUUGAUGGGGCUAACUAUGCUGAGUUCGUUGCCUUUAUGCGCAUUCACAUGCGUGGCAUUCGUCUCUGGGGUGUUCUUUCCGGUGAGGUCCCCUGUCCUCCGCGCCCAGUGGCUCCUGUGGCUCCUACCCCACCGCCGACGCCACCGGCUCUUGACACAAAUGCUUCUGAUGCUGAUAGGGCUGCAGCCAGGGUUGCUGCUGAUGAUGCAGAUGCCGCUUAUGACCAGGAGGUCUUGGAUUAUUCAAAUGCUCUUUCUGUUUAUCGUGACGAUCUGGCUGCUUACACUCAGUGGUGUGAUGAUGAUGCUCGUGCUGCGACUGUUCUCACUUCCAGUGUUUUGCCUCAGUUUGCUUCUGAGUUUAUAGGCCUCGGUACUGUCUUUGAGAUGUGGACUCAUCUUCGUCAGCGCUAUCAGCCCUCUGGUGAUGCUUUCUACUUGUCUGUGGUCCGUCAGGAGCAUGCUCUUCAGCAGGGAGACUCCACUAUUGAUGAGUUCUACACUCAGAGUUCUGCUAUCCGGCGCCAGCUUGACUCCCUUCGCACUACUGUUUGUGGCACUUGCCCGUGUUGCCAGACUGUGAGGUCAGACUUGGAGUUUCAGCGCGUCUAUGGGUUCUUGUCACGGCUCCGUGGGGAGUUUGAGCCUCGACGUGCUCAGUUGUUUGCUCGUGGCCGUGUUCCUAUUUCUGAGGUGCUUUCUGAGCUUCGUGCUGAGGAGACUCGCCUUCAUGGUGCUGGUUUGCUUCAGGUUCCCUCUGUGCUCGCUGCUCGAGGUGCUACUCCACCAGUGUCUUCUCGCUCCAGUGCUCCGCCGCUUCUGCCCACUCCUCUGGGUAGUGAGGUCCGCUCUCGUGAAGGUCGCUCUCGUCCUCGUACUCAUUGUGACUACUGCAACAGGGAUGGUCACCCCGAGUCUGACUGCUUCAAGAAGAAGUGUGAUAUGCGUAAUAGGGAGCGCAAUUCUUCUUCUGGGACUCGUGCUUCUUCCUCGACGCUGUCUACUGUCUCCUUGACUGAGCAAGAUAUUGUGAAGCUCAAGCGACUACUUGCUGCUUCAGGUUCUUCGACAGGUACUACAGGCUCUGUGACUGGUGCUUCUAGUGUUGAGCGACCAUUGUCUACCCAGUCAGGAUCGUCACACGAAGGCUCAGGUUGGGGCUGGCCCGCGCCGCCGUGA